AACGAACGCUGGCGGCAUGCCUAACACAUGCAAGUCGAACGAGAUCUUCGGGUCUAGUGGCGCACGGGUGCGUAACGCGUGGGAAUCUGCCCUUUGGUUCGGAAUAACAGUUGGAAACGACUGCUAAUACCGGAUGAUGACGAAAGUCCAAAGAUUUAUCGCCAGAGGAUGGGCCCGCGUAGGAUUAGCUAGUUGGUGUGGUAAAGGCGCACCAAGCCGACGAUCAGUAGCUGGUCUGAGAGGAUGCAAAGCCACACAGGGAAUGAGAGACGGCCAAGACUCCUACAGGAGGCAGCAGUGGGGAAUAUUGGACAAUGGGCGAAAGCCUGAUCCAGCAAUGCCGCGUUAGUGAUGAAGGCCUUAGGGUUGUAAAGCUCUUUUACUCGGCAUGAUAAUGACAGUACCGGGAGAAUAAGCUCCGGCUAACUCCGUGCCAGCAGCCGCAGUAA
RNAcentral lists this ribosomal RNA (449 nucleotides) under uncultured bacterium. Its description in RNAcentral is "partial 16S ribosomal RNA". It matches the Rfam family "Bacterial small subunit ribosomal RNA", at positions 29 to 523 of the family's 1533-position model. The record is from RNAcentral.